This 253-nucleotide ribosomal RNA is filed under the name uncultured bacterium. RNAcentral's name for it is "partial 16S ribosomal RNA". It matches the Rfam family "Bacterial small subunit ribosomal RNA", at positions 524 to 776 of the family's 1533-position model. The record is from RNAcentral.
UACGGAGGGGGCUAGCGUUGUUCGGAAUUACUGGGCGUAAAGCGCGCGUAGGCGGAUCUGCAAGUCGGGGGUGAAAUCCCGAGGCUCAACCUCGGAACUGCCUUCGAUACUGCGGGUCUCGAGUCCGGGAGAGGUGAGUGGAAUUCCUAGUGUAGAGGUGAAAUUCGUAGAUAUUAGGAAGAACACCAGUGGCGAAGGCGGCUCACUGGCCCGGUACUGACGCUGAGGCGCGAAAGCGUGGGGAGCCAACAGG